CGCAGCGGGGAUAGCACGUUGAAUGCAACAGUUUCCAAUAGACUGAUUUGUUUCUAAUGAAUUUAUGGAUCACUGAUGUUAAGCAACGCUGCACGUGGUUGAUAUGUUCGGAUGGGUGAUCAUCUGGACAACCGCGUGCUGCUGGCU
Molecule: ribosomal RNA, 147 nt
Filed under: Diaphorina citri (Asian citrus psyllid)
Lineage: Eukaryota; Metazoa; Arthropoda; Insecta; Hemiptera; Psyllidae
Source: RNAcentral